Molecule: unclassified non-coding RNA, 117 nt
Organism: Callithrix jacchus (white-tufted-ear marmoset)
Lineage: Eukaryota; Metazoa; Chordata; Mammalia; Primates; Cebidae
Rfam family: Metazoan signal recognition particle RNA
About the family: The signal recognition particle (SRP) is a universally conserved ribonucleoprotein. It is involved in the co-translational targeting of proteins to membranes. The eukaryotic SRP consists of a 300-nucleotide 7S RNA and six proteins: SRPs 72, 68, 54, 19, 14, and 9.
Source: Ensembl
GCCAGGCAUGGUGGCUCAUGCCUGUAAUCCUAGCACUUUGGGAGGCCGAGGUGGGUGGAUCACCUGAGGUCAGGAGUUUGAGAUCAGCCUGGCCAACAUGGUGAAACCCCAUCUCUA